This 468-nucleotide ribosomal RNA is filed under the name uncultured bacterium. Its description in RNAcentral is "partial 16S ribosomal RNA". It matches the Rfam family "Bacterial small subunit ribosomal RNA", at positions 28 to 507 of the family's 1533-position model. The record is from RNAcentral.
GACGAACGCUGGCGGCGUGCUUAACACAUGCGAGUCGAACGGAAAGGCCCUGCUUUUGUGGGGUGCUCGAGUGGCGAACGGGUGAGUAACACGUGAGUAACCUGCCCUUGACUUUGGGAUAACUUCAGGAAACUGGGGCUAAUACCGGAUAGGAGCUCCUGCUGCAUGGUGGGGGUUGGAAGGUUUCGGCGGUUGGGGAUGGACUCGCGGCUUAUCAGCUUGUUGGUGGGGUAGUGGCUUACCAAGGCUUUGACGGGUAGCCGGCCUGAGAGGGUGACCGGCCACAUUGGGACUGAGAUACGGCCCAGACUCCUACGGGAGGCAGCAGUGGGGAAUAUUGCACAAUGGGCGGAAGCCUGAUGCAGCAACGCCGCGUGCGGGAUGACGGCCUUCGGGUUGUAAACCGCUUUCGCCUGUGACGAAGCGUGAGUGACGGUAAUGGGUAAAGAAGCACCGGCUAACUACGUG